RNAcentral lists this ribosomal RNA (301 nucleotides) under uncultured bacterium. RNAcentral's name for it is "partial 16S ribosomal RNA". It matches the Rfam family "Bacterial small subunit ribosomal RNA", at positions 509 to 807 of the family's 1533-position model. The record is from RNAcentral.
CAGCAGCCACGGUAAUACAGAGGGUGCGAGCGUUAAUCGGAUUUACUGGGCGUAAAGCGUGCGUAGGCGGCUUUUUAAGUCGGAUGUGAAAUCCCUGAGCUUAACUUAGGAAUUGCAUUCGAUACUGGGAAGCUAGAGUAUGGGAGAGGAUGGUAGAAUUCCAGGUGUAGCGGUGAAAUCCGUAGAGAUCUGGAGGAAUACCGAUGGCGAAGGCAGCCAUCUGGCCUAAUACUGACGCUGAGGUACGAAAGCAUGGGGAGCAAACAGGAUUAGAUACCCCAGUAGUCCCUGUCUCUUAUAC